Molecule: ribosomal RNA, 253 nt
Filed under: uncultured bacterium
Lineage: Bacteria
Description: partial 16S ribosomal RNA
Rfam family: Bacterial small subunit ribosomal RNA
Source: RNAcentral
UACGCAGGGGGCUAGCGUUGUCCGGAUUUAUUGGGCGUAAAGAGCGUGUAGGCGGCCAGGUGGGUCUGGUGUGAAAACUCGAGGCUUAACCUCGAGAUGUCAUCGGAAACCAUCUGGCUAGAGUCCGGAAGAGGAGAGUGGAAUUCCUGGUGUAGCGGUGAAAUGCGCAGAUAUCAGGAAGAACACCAAUGGCGAAAGCAGCUCUCUGGGACGGUACUGACGCUGAGACGCGAAAGCGUGGGGAGCGAACAGG